UGGGGAAUAUUGCACAAUGGAGGGAACUCUGAUGCAGCGACGCCGCGUGAACGAAGAAGGCUUUCGAGUCGUAAAGUUCUUUUAUAUGGGAAGAUAAUGACGGUACCAUAAGAAAAAGCCCCGGCUAACUACGUGCCAGCAGCCGCGGUAAUACGUAGGGGGCUAGCGUUGUCCGGAAUCACUGGGCGUAAAGCGCGCGUAGGCGGUUUGUUAGGUCAGGAGUUAAAUCUGGGGGCUCAACCCCUAUCCGCUCCUGAUACCGGCAGGCUUGAGUCUGGUAGGGGAAGGCGGAAUUCCAAGUGUAGCGGUGAAAUGCGCAGAUAUUUGGAAGAACACCGGUGGCGAAGGCGGCCUUCUGGGCCACGACUGACGCUGAGGCGCGAAAGCUAGGGGAGCGAACAGG
RNAcentral lists this ribosomal RNA (403 nucleotides) under Verrucomicrobiota bacterium. Its description in RNAcentral is "Verrucomicrobia bacterium partial 16S ribosomal RNA". It matches the Rfam family "Bacterial small subunit ribosomal RNA", at positions 355 to 776 of the family's 1533-position model. The record is from RNAcentral. Lineage: Bacteria; Pseudomonadati; Verrucomicrobiota.